Molecule: long non-coding RNA, 1156 nt
Organism: Trichechus manatus latirostris (Florida manatee)
Lineage: Eukaryota; Metazoa; Chordata; Mammalia; Sirenia; Trichechidae
Exons: 6
Source: RefSeq, a predicted model, not a curated record
CCGGCUCGUAGCUUCCGUGGGUCGGGACCUUCCCCGCAUACAAAGUCCUCUGAAUCCUCUGGGAUGAACCCCCGCAGGCUGAUCAGGAGCUCUGUGGAUGAAUUUUAAUGCGUUUCCCACAUUCAUUUGAAAGGGAACUCGAAUAAUUGCAAAAUGUAGACACAAUACUGAUUUAUUUUUUAACAAAUUUAAUAAUUGGUAAUGGGGGCAGGAAUUUGCCCCUCCCCCCCUCCAAAAUUUAGGAACACUGCCUUAAUGAAUGAGAUGGGAAAUACUGCUUUCCUAGAUUUCCUAGCACAGGCCGGCUUGCCAGUGAACCUCAGUUUACCACCAAAGUGGUGUUCACCUCUAGUCUAGAAGGGACAGAUGUUCAUUGUGCAUAUACCAGAUCCUGUGCUAAAGAUUUUAAUGCGUAUUUAAUUUUUACAAUAGUUCUCUGAGGUAGGUGUUGUCUCUCUCUCUUUUUAACAGACAAGACAUUUAGGCCAGAAACAUGAAGUCACUACUUCAAGGUCACACAAUGUGGGGAAUGGAAUCCAGACCCGAUUUCCUUGCUGGUCGAUUUUCUCAGACCUGCACAAUUUUGUGGACAUGUGAGUGAAUUCCACAUUACACAUUUUACAGAUGAAGCUAGUGAGAUAUGGAGCAACUGACUCUGAAUAGUCACCGCCCCACCCCUGGAGCCUCAUACAUGACUAUUCUCCUGCUCAAGUGACGGAAGAACAUCCAACCCACUUAGAUGAGGCUCCUGACUGUUGGCUUGAGAGACUGUCUUUUCUCUUGCCUGGCCCAACACCAGAGAUACAGAGAUGAAUGGGAUUCUGUCCUUGCUCUCAAGAUGUUACGGCCUGGAGAGGGAGACAGGCAGGUGGAAACAUGGUCUUGUCACUGUAGUGUUGUGGUUAGAGUGUGACUCUGGAUCCAGUCUACUGGGGCCUGAAUUCUGACUCACCACUUUUUGUGUGACCUUGGGUUCACCUCUGUAUGUGCAAAGCCUGCUGAGGCACUCAGUGAAUAAAAAGUUCUAUCCUCGGCCAUUGAAGAUGUAACUAUUGGUCUCUACUCGUCUGGAACAAAAGAGAAUGAAGGAAACCAAAGAUUCAAAGAAGAAACUAAUCCACAGGACUAAUAGCCCAUAUGAACCAUGGCCUCAUCU